UUACCCAAAUGGUACAAACUUCCAGUGCAGAUGUGAGGAACAGUAUGUGUGGUCAUUAAGCAACUGUAAUACAUAUGGAGCCUGUGAUGACAUCAUUGACAACACGUGUGGGUGUAUCAACAGUAUUCCUACCAAUGGACAAUACUGCGUGCCACAGACAGUACCUUUAGUAUUUUAUGAAUACCAGAUUAUUACCGAGGUGAAUACCAGCGAUGCGGAUCAGCUGAGAAACGUCCUGAACAGUUUAACUUUUCCUGUCCAGAUCAGCUCCUCAGUUAACAUAUUAGAUGCCAAUAUCACCACAGUUUGCAGCCAAGAUAACACUGGGUUUCAGUGCCACUGUGAAAAGGACUAUCUUUGGCCGUGUGAUAAGUGUGACACCUAUGGGAAAUGUUAUGCUAAUACAAGCAACACAUGUGGAUGCAUCAAUGCCAUUCCUCCUGAUGGACAAUACUGCCAGCCUGCUGAUC
Long non-coding RNA from Notothenia coriiceps (black rockcod), 470 nucleotides. RefSeq lists it as uncharacterized. The record is from RefSeq and is a predicted model, not a curated record. The transcript has 3 exons. Lineage: Eukaryota; Metazoa; Chordata; Actinopteri; Perciformes; Nototheniidae.